GGGCCCGCACAAGCGGUGGAGUAUGUGGUUUAAUUCGAUGCAACGCGAAGAACCUUACCAGGGUUUGACAUCCUGCGAAUCUCUUGGAAACUUGAGAGUGCCUUCGGGAGCGCAGUGACAGGUGGUGCAUGGCUGUCGUCAGCUCGUGUCGUGAGAUGUUGGUUAAGUCCCGCAACGAGCGCAACCCACGUCUUUAGUUGCCAGCAUUUAGUUGGGCACUCUAGAGAGACCGCCGGUGAUAAACCGGAGGAAGGUGUGGAUGACGUCAAGUCAUCAUGCCCCUUACGGGUUGGGCUACACACGUGCUACAAUGGUAGUGACAAUGGGUUAAUCCCAAAAAUGCUAUCUCAGU
This 352-nucleotide ribosomal RNA is filed under the name uncultured bacterium. RNAcentral's name for it is "bacterial SSU rRNA". It matches the Rfam family "Bacterial small subunit ribosomal RNA", at positions 917 to 1292 of the family's 1533-position model. The record is from RNAcentral.